CCUACGGGAGGCAGCAGUGGGGAAUAUUGCGCAAUGGGCGAAAGCCUGACGCAGCGACGCCGCGUGAGGGAUGAAGGCUUUCGGGUUGUAAACUUCUUUUGUCAGGGAAGAGUAGAAGACGGUACCUGACGAAUAAGCCACGGCUAACUACGUGCCAGCAGCCGCGGUAAUACGUAGGUGGCAAGCGUUGUCCGGAUUUACUGGGUGUAAAGGGCGUGUAGCCGGGUUGACAAGUCAGAUGUGAAAUCCUGCGGCUUAACCGCAGAACUGCAUUUGAAACUGUUGAUCUUGAGUACUGGAGAGGCAGACGGAAUUCCUAGUGUAGCGGUGAAAUGCGUAGAUAUUAGGAGGAACACCAGUGGCGAAGGCGGUCUGCUGGACAGCAACUGACGGUGAGGCGCGAAAGCGUGGGGAGCAAACAGGAUUAGAUACCCGAGUAGUC
RNAcentral lists this ribosomal RNA (442 nucleotides) under uncultured bacterium. RNAcentral describes it as "partial 16S ribosomal RNA". It matches the Rfam family "Bacterial small subunit ribosomal RNA", at positions 338 to 795 of the family's 1533-position model. The record is from RNAcentral.